UAAAAAGGGUUUUCCAAAAGGACCAUUUAUAAUCGAAAUACAAAACUUCACACACGAUUUUGAGCACAACAGAGCGCUCAGUGAACAUCACUUCCGGGACCUGCAGCAUCAGAGGGGGACAUCUAUCUUGGCCACAAACCAUCUUUGACAGUCUUCGGCAGCAUGGUUGAAUCAGGCGCAUCAACACAUGAUAUAGACAUCGUGUCCAAAAGAAGAGCGAGACGUAAUCCUGAGGCUGAAGCCACCGAGUUUAUUUGAUCUGGAUGUGACAAGUCUUGUUUUAAGGCCCAGUGGAUCAAUGAUUGGAAAGACACCAACUGUUGAUGUUCUAUCUCAACAUUCUCCAGAUUCAUGUGAGCGAUAAACCGACUUCAUUACUUGACUAUUUUACUAUCCAUCCAUCCAUCCAUUUUCUACUACCUGUCCCUUUUUUGGGUUGGCGGGGUGUGCUUGAGCCUAUCUGAGCUGCAUUCGGGCGGAAGGCGGAGUACACCCUGGACAAGUCGCCACCUCAUUACACGGCCAACACAAAUAGACAACAUUUA
Long non-coding RNA from Nerophis ophidion (straightnose pipefish), 545 nucleotides. RefSeq lists it as uncharacterized. The transcript has 3 exons. Lineage: Eukaryota; Metazoa; Chordata; Actinopteri; Syngnathiformes; Syngnathidae. The record is from RefSeq and is a predicted model, not a curated record.